UGGGGAAUAUUGGACAAUGGGCGCAAGCCUGAUCCAGCCAUGCCGCGUGAGUGACGAAGGUCUUCGGAUUGUAAAGCUCUUUUUGCCAGGGACGAUAAUGACGGUACCUGGAGAAUAAGCCCCGGCUAACUUCGUGCCAGCAGCCGCGGUAAUACGAAGGGGGCUAGCGUUGUUCGGAAUUACUGGGCGUAAAGCGCACGUAGGCGGAUUUGUUAGUCAGGGGUGAAAUCCCGGGGCUCAACCUCGGAACUGCCUUUGAUACUGCAAGUCUCGAGUCCGAUAGAGGUGAGUGGAAUUCCUAGUGUAGAGGUGAAAUUCGUAGAUAUUAGGAAGAACACCAGUGGCGAAGGCGGCUCACUGGAUCGGUACUGACGCUGAGGUGCGAAAGCGUGGGGAGCAAACAGGAUUAGAUACCCACGUAGUCCCUGAGCGGGCUGGCAAGGCGCAU
RNAcentral lists this ribosomal RNA (448 nucleotides) under uncultured bacterium. RNAcentral's name for it is "bacterial SSU rRNA". It matches the Rfam family "Bacterial small subunit ribosomal RNA", at positions 355 to 825 of the family's 1533-position model. The record is from RNAcentral.